GAUGAACGCUGGCGGCGUGCUUAACACAUGCAAGUCGAACGAAGCAUGUAAAACAAUCCUUCGGGUGCGUUUUACAUGACUGAGUGGCGGACGGGUGAGUAACGCGUGGGGAACCUGCCGUAUGCAGGGGGACAACAGUCAGAAAUGACUGCUAAUACCGCAUAAGCGCACAAUGCUGCAUGGCAUGGUGUGAAAAGAUUUAUCGGCAUACGAUGGCCCCGCGUCUGAUUAGCCAGUUGGCAGGGUAACGGCCUACCAAAGCAACGAUCAGUAGCCGGCUUGAGAGAGUGACCGGCCACAUUGGGACUGAGACACGGCCCAGACUCCGUACGGGAGCUG
RNAcentral lists this ribosomal RNA (339 nucleotides) under uncultured Bacillota bacterium. Its description in RNAcentral is "bacterial SSU rRNA". It matches the Rfam family "Bacterial small subunit ribosomal RNA", at positions 28 to 351 of the family's 1533-position model. Lineage: Bacteria; Bacillati; Bacillota. The record is from RNAcentral.